UUUCCGGUUGAUCCAGCCAGAGGCCAUUGCUAUCGGAGUCCGAUUUAGCCAUGCUAGUCGUACGAGUUCACACUCGUGGCGGAUAGCUCAGUAACACGUGGCCAAGCUUCCCUUCAGCGCUGGAUACCCUCGGGAAACUGAGGUCAAUCCGGCAUACACCUCUCAGACUGGAGUGUCGAGAGGCAGAAACGCUUUUUGAGUGCUGGAGGAUGCGGCUGCGGCCGAUUAGGUAGACGGUGGGGUAACGGCCCACCGUGCCCAUAAUCGGUACGGGUCAUGAGAGUGAGAGCCCGGAGACGGAAUCUGAGACAAGAUUCCGGGCCCUACGGGGCGCAGCAGGCGCGAAACCUUUACACUGCACGCCAGUGCGAUAAGGGGACUCCGAGUGCGAGGGCAUAUCGUCCUCGCUAUCGUGGACUGUAGGGCAGUCCACUAUCAAGAGCUGGGCAAGACCGGUGCCAGCCGCCGCGGUAAUACCGGCAGCUCGAGUGAUGGCCGAUCUUAUUGGGCCUAAAGCGUCCGUAGCCGGCCUCGCAAGUCCGUCGGGAAAUCCAUCAGCUCAACUGAUGGGCGUCCGGCGGAAACUCCGAGGCUUGGGACCGGAAGGCUCGAGGGGUACGUCCGGGGUAGGAGUGAAAUCCUGUAAUCCCGCACGGACCACCGAUGGCGAAAGCACCUCGAGAAGACGGAUCCGACGGUGAGGGACGAAAGCUAGGGUCUCGAACCGGAUUAGAUACCCGGGUAGUCCUAGCCGUAAACGAUGCUCGCUAGGUGUGGCACAGGCUACGCGCCUGUGCUGUGCCGUAGGGAAGCCGAGAAGCGAGCCGCCUGGGAAGUACGUCUGCAAGGAUGAAACUUAAAGGAAUUGGCGGGGGAGCACUACAACCGGAGGAGCCUGCGGUUUAAUUGGAUUCAACGCCGGA
RNAcentral lists this ribosomal RNA (923 nucleotides) under uncultured archaeon. RNAcentral describes it as "bacterial SSU rRNA". It matches the Rfam family "Archaeal small subunit ribosomal RNA", at positions 1 to 922 of the family's 1478-position model. The record is from RNAcentral.